RNAcentral lists this ribosomal RNA (404 nucleotides) under uncultured bacterium. Its description in RNAcentral is "bacterial SSU rRNA". It matches the Rfam family "Bacterial small subunit ribosomal RNA", at positions 355 to 776 of the family's 1533-position model. The record is from RNAcentral. RNAcentral also lists the same sequence under 2 other names.
UGGGGAAUAUUGCACAAUGGGGGAAACCCUGAUGCAGCGACGCCGCGUGAGUGAAGAAGUAUUUCGGUAUGUAAAGCUCUAUCAGCAGGGAAGAAAGUGACGGUACCUGAAUAAGAAGCCCCGGCUAACUACGUGCCAGCAGCCGCGGUAAUACGUAGGGGGCAAGCGUUAUCCGGAUUUACUGGGUGUAAAGGGAGCGUAGACGGCAAGGCAAGUCUGAAGUGAAAGCCCGGUGCUUAACGCCGGGACUGCUUUGGAAACUGUUUGGCUGGAGUGCCGGAGAGGUAAGCGGAAUUCCUAGUGUAGCGGUGAAAUGCGUAGAUAUUAGGAAGAACACCAGUGGCGAAGGCGGCUUACUGGACGGUAACUGACGUUGAGGCUCGAAAGCGUGGGGAGCAAACAGG